ACACAAUAUGUGUGGAAGUGUUUAGCUUAAGAUUUUCGAUUCGUCUGUGUUGGUCACGAGUGGCUCUCCUCGUUUCAGGUCCAUUGUGGAACUCCGAGUGGAUCCUCAUACCAUCUCUUUGGUUAUAGAUAGCCAAGCUUUUGUUGCGACAGAUCUAAAACUAAAUCUCUCUUCACAAUAUCUCCUGAAAGUGAUAGACCCUUUCCAGUCAUUUGGCUGUUAAGUAUAAAGGAGUUUUCUGAUGGUUUGCGUUAUCUUCCUUCUUGUACCAAAUGCAAAUACCCUUCACAUCAUCGCCCCGCUCUCUGUUCCGAGAUGACAAGAUGGCAACUAAUGAUUGGCCAAUCACUUGAGACUCGAGAGUUGUUAGGGAUCGAACCCUAUUUUAGAGACAUCGAAACCUAGAAGCGGUAUGUGUUUCUAUUUGCAUAUU
Molecule: long non-coding RNA, 433 nt
Organism: Brassica napus (rape)
Lineage: Eukaryota; Viridiplantae; Streptophyta; Magnoliopsida; Brassicales; Brassicaceae
Exons: 3
Source: RefSeq, a predicted model, not a curated record